RNAcentral lists this ribosomal RNA (272 nucleotides) under uncultured bacterium. Its description in RNAcentral is "partial 16S ribosomal RNA". It matches the Rfam family "Bacterial small subunit ribosomal RNA", at positions 524 to 793 of the family's 1533-position model. The record is from RNAcentral.
UACGGGGGGAGCAAGCGUUGUUCGGAUUUACUGGGCGUAAAGGGCGCGUAGGCGGCCACCGCAAGUCGACUGUGAAAUCUCCGGGCUUAACCCGGAAAGGUCAGCCGAUACUGCGGGGCUAGAGUGCAGAAGGGGCAACUGGAAUUCCAGGUGUAGCGGUGAAAUGCGUAGAUAUCCGGAGGAACACCAGUGGCGAAAGCGGCCACCUGGACUGUACCUGACGCGUCAAACGCGAAAGCUAGGGGCGAACGGGAUUAGAAAACCCUGGUGAG